UGGCGGACGGGGGAGUAAUGUCUGGGAAACUGCCCGAUGGAGGGGGAUAACUACUGGAAACGGUAGCUAAUACCGCAUAAUGUCUACGGACCAAAGCGGGGGACUUCCGGGCCUCGCGCCAUCAGAUGAACCCAUAUGGGAUUAGCUAGUAGGUAAGGUAACGGCUUACCUAGGCGACGAUCCCUAGCUGGUCUGAGAGGAUGAUCAGCCACACUGGGACUGAGACACGGCCCAG
RNAcentral lists this ribosomal RNA (235 nucleotides) under uncultured bacterium. RNAcentral describes it as "partial 16S ribosomal RNA". It matches the Rfam family "Bacterial small subunit ribosomal RNA", at positions 96 to 334 of the family's 1533-position model. The record is from RNAcentral.